GCCAGGAGACCUUUGGUGACUUCACUCUAUCUUUCUUUUUUCUUUUUUUUUUUGUUAUUCUUGUUAAGUGGGUGUGAAGCCCGUGUCUGAUGAGGCGCAUUUAGAGUACUAUGAAAACCCAGUAAAUGCAGGCCUGACGUCCAGCCAGUGUAAAUGCUUGGACAAAGCUGCUGCAAAGACUGGAGUGUUUGUGUUUGAUUAGAAAAGGCUCCACUCGGUGGUUUACCUCCAUUUUUCUCCUCUCUGUGCAAGAAGCAGUGAAGUGUUGAGCCCACGGUGAGCAGAUUUCACCCUGUAGUGAUAAAAAAAAGCAGGGUGAGUGGGUUGGCGUGUUGGUCACAAAGAUGACAAAAAUUAAUUGGUUACACCCGUGUGGGCUUUUCAUUUGCAUCCAGCAAUUGCAUUUGGACCUCGUUGGAGGAAAUAAUAUAAAAAAGAUGAAGUCUUUGUUUUCACUAAUUUAGCGUUAAUACCUUUAUGCAAAUAUGCACUUUGUUAAUUCUAAUGUUUCCUGCUGGCUCUGCAGUUAGUUGGAUUUCACAAAUUCGAUUAAAUACGAAAGUGAAAAAGGGAUAUACGUCAAAAGUGGGAAAAAGGGAGAGAGAGAGAGAAUGUAAUAAAUACAAAAAUGACACAGCUUUCAAAAGUCAAUUUGAUGAUAUUGUAGUUGCUUAAGGAUGUAAUAUUUUUGGCAAUGAAAUUACUAAAAAUAAUUUAAAAUAAAUAGCACUAUUUGAAGUGCAUGUAGGUUCAUAACAAACAAAAAGCACAGCCUGCAUGAAGAGGAGGAGGAGGAAGAAGUAGGUGAUGAAGGAGAAGAAAAAGAAGAAGAAAACAGCAGCUCCACGUGGAAUUUACUUCAUUAGGCGGAAAUGAAAAGGUCACAGUGCGUUGGUGGUUAAUGAGAAACAUCAGAUGUAAUGUCAGGAUUUUUUAUUUUUUGGUCAGUUGUUGGCGUCAAUUUGUUGUCUUUACAUUAUUCACUGUAUCAGACCAAGAUAGUAUGUUUAAAAAUAGAUUUUUAAAAAUAUAUUUCACUAAUAUUUAAAGAUGUCUGGUCCCAAAGAUGUUACAACCUUAUGGUGGUCGUUCUUUAGUCACUCGUUCUCGACUCUCGUCCUGGACCAGUCUGCCGUAGGAGAUUCAACCUGUUGAUUAUUUUCCAUAGGAGAAAUAAAGUGAGAACACAGACGAGUGACGUGUGCAUGCAUGAAUGUAGAGAAUGUUCAACUUGCCUCUGAAGUGGGAUGUUUCUCUCAGGCUCAUCCAGGAGACUGAGGUAGAACCCAACACUGAAGCAUACUCAUGAUGGAGUUGCAUUGAGCUCCAAAAGAUAGGACAGAGAUUUUGAACUAUGAACACAACUGGUCCAAAUUAACGUGAUUUUAUUUAUUUAUUUAAUUUGUACCCCAGUGGGAAGAACUAUUUUAUUUUAUCAGUGAGGAUGUCCAUUUUUAGAGUUCAGCCAUAGCUGUCAAAUAUCAGAAAAAGUUUGGGAAACUCUGGGCUAAUCAAAGAAACAAAAACUUAAGAUGAAAACUUUUU
Cynoglossus semilaevis (tongue sole) is the source of this 1545-nucleotide long non-coding RNA. RefSeq lists it as uncharacterized. Lineage: Eukaryota; Metazoa; Chordata; Actinopteri; Pleuronectiformes; Cynoglossidae. The transcript is spliced from 2 exons. The record is from RefSeq and is a predicted model, not a curated record.